This 507-nucleotide ribosomal RNA is filed under the name uncultured bacterium. Its description in RNAcentral is "partial 16S ribosomal RNA". It matches the Rfam family "Bacterial small subunit ribosomal RNA", at positions 28 to 506 of the family's 1533-position model. The record is from RNAcentral.
GACGAACGCUGGCGGCGUGCUUAACACAUGCAAGUCGAACGGGCCUUGUCCCCUUUUUUUUUGGGGGUGGGGUUAGUGGCGAACGGGUGAGUAACACGUGAGUAACCUGCCCCUCACUUCUGGAUAACCGCUUGAAAGGGUGGCUAAUACGGGGUGUUCUGGCCUGCUCGCACGGGUGGGUUUGGAAAGAUUCGACCGGUUUUGGUUGUUUUGGUGGGGGAUGGGCUCGCGGCCUAUCAGCUUGUUGGUGGGGUGAUGGCCUGCCAAGGCUUUGACGGGUAGCCGGCCUGAGAGGGUGGGCGGUCACACUGGGACUGAGACACGGCCCAGACUCCUACGGGAGGCAGCAGUGGGGAAUAUUGCACAAUGGGCGCAAGCCUGAUGCAGCGACGCCGCGUGAGGGAUGGAGGCCUUCGGGUUGUGAACCUCUUUCGCCAGUGAAGAAGGUCCUGCUCUUUGUGGUGGGGUUGACGGUAGCUGGGUGAAUGAAGCGCCGGCUAACUACGU